RNAcentral lists this ribosomal RNA (338 nucleotides) under Desulfuromonas sp. Its description in RNAcentral is "bacterial LSU rRNA". It matches the Rfam family "Bacterial large subunit ribosomal RNA", at positions 2597 to 2925 of the family's 2925-position model. Lineage: Bacteria; Pseudomonadati; Thermodesulfobacteriota; Desulfuromonadia; Desulfuromonadales; Desulfuromonadaceae. The record is from RNAcentral.
UACGCGAGCUGGGUUUAAAACGUCGUGAGACAGUUUGGUCCCUAUCUGCCGUGGGCGUAGGAGAUUUGAGAGGCUCUGUUCCUAGUACGAGAGGACCGGAAUGGACGAACCACUGGUGUUCCUGUUGUCCCGCCAGGGGCAAUGGCAGGGUAGCUACGUUCGGAAAGGAUAACCGCUGAAAGCAUCUAAGCGGGAAGCCCCCCUCGAGACAAGAUCUCCCUGGAACUUCGGUUCCCUGAAGGCCCGUUGAAGACUACAACGUUGAUAGGCCGGGUGUGUAAGCACGGUAACGUGUUCAGCUAACCGGUACUAAUUGGCCGUGAGGCUUGACCAUAAAA